This 329-nucleotide unclassified non-coding RNA is filed under the name soil metagenome. RNAcentral's name for it is "partial contains 5.8S ribosomal RNA, internal transcribed spacer 2, and large subunit ribosomal RNA". The stretch from base 1 to 120 matches the Rfam family "5.8S ribosomal RNA", at positions 35 to 154 of the family's 154-position model. The record is from RNAcentral.
GAUGAAGAACGCAGCGAAAUGCGAUAAGUAGUGUGAAUUGCAGAAUUCAGUGAAUCAUCGAAUCUUUGAACGCACAUUGCGCCCCUUGGUAUCCCGAGGGGCAUGCCUGUUCGAGCGUCAUUUCACCACUCAAGCCUGGCUUGGUGUUGGGCGACGUCCUCUUUGGGGACGCGCCUCGAAACGCUCGGCGGCGUGGCACCGGCUUUAAGCGUAGCAGAAUCUUUCGCUUUGGAAGUCGGGGCCCCGUCUGCCGGAAGACCUGCUCGCAAGGUUGACCUCCGAUCAGGCAGGGAUACCCGCUGAACUUAAGCAUAUCAAUAAGCGGAGGA